UAAAUGCUUUCUACUUUUGUUUAUUUUAUUUCGGUGUCGGGUCAUUUUUAGAAGAUAGUAAUUAAUAACUUGUGUAAUUAUCACAUUCUACUAUGAUACUUUGAUAUUGCCUUUAUAAUAAAUUUUCUAAAUGAACGCUUGAU
RNAcentral lists this microRNA precursor (143 nucleotides) under Schistosoma mansoni. Its description in RNAcentral is "microRNA sma-mir-8472 precursor". The record is from miRBase by way of RNAcentral. Lineage: Eukaryota; Metazoa; Platyhelminthes; Trematoda; Strigeidida; Schistosomatidae.